UACUCUUUUGUGUUAAUUGCAUAAAUACAGAUGAGGUGCUGUAAGUAGUUGACCCUUCUGGAUCCUUUCCUAGUUAUACUACUCCUUAAGUACGGCCUAAUGAGAAUUGGUGAAUAAGCGGCAGUCUUUGGAUCUGCAGUUGUCGCGUCGGGGAUAUCCAUCACCACCGAAGAGGAAGGCAUACCAAUCAGAAGAGCUUCACUCUCAACUCUCCCUAAGGUACCUUGGUUUCUGCUAUGAUAUUGAAGAACAAAUCAAGGACAUAAGGCUGAGAGAUACAAUGUGGCUGAUUUCAAACAGAAACGAUGCUCAGUACUUCAUUACCUGUUUUGUUGUUGUUCAGGUAAGGAUUGAAAUAAUACUAGAAAGAUGCAGAAGAGUAAAUACAAUUGAACAAAGAAAGGUAGUAAUGUAAAGCAGUAUAUUCACCUGUGAGCAGAGGUCAGGGUCAGCUUGUCACCCAUCCAUCCAUCUAUUUUUUUUUUUAAUGUUUUAUUGAGGAACUCUUGUGCCAGGUUCUCUUCUAGGUACUGAAGAAGCAUCAUGAACAAGGCUUGCUUGGUCUCUAACUAUAUAGAGCUUAU
Molecule: long non-coding RNA, 584 nt
Filed under: Sus scrofa (pig)
Lineage: Eukaryota; Metazoa; Chordata; Mammalia; Artiodactyla; Suidae
Description: lncRNA (ENSSSCG00030019178.1)
Source: RNAcentral